RNAcentral lists this small RNA (69 nucleotides) under Sinorhizobium meliloti 2011. Its description in RNAcentral is "putative ncRNA". The record is from RNAcentral. Lineage: Bacteria; Pseudomonadati; Pseudomonadota; Alphaproteobacteria; Hyphomicrobiales; Rhizobiaceae.
AUCGGCCAUGAUCUGGCACGGGUGCGUAUCGUCGGUGAGCCCGUUGAUGACGGGCACGGUCGCAUGCUC